GACCUUGUAGCUCAGUUGGUAGAUUAUUGGACUAGAAAAACAAAGGUCGUGGGUUCGAAUCCCACCACAGUCA
This is a non-coding RNA of Paramuricea clavata, 73 nucleotides long. NCBI's taxonomy places the organism in Eukaryota, Metazoa, Cnidaria, Anthozoa, Malacalcyonacea, Plexauridae. The record is from the annotation of a GenBank genome assembly.